UACAGAGGGCGCGAGCGUUGUCCGGAAUCACUGGGCGUAAAGGGCGCGUAGGUGGCCACCAUAAGGCCGCGGUGAAAGUUCGGGGCUCAACCCCGGAUCGGCCGCGGCGACUGUGGGGCUCGGGUACUGUAGAGGCAGAUGGAAUUCCUGGUGUAGCGGUGAAAUGCGCAGAUAUCAGGAGGAACACCGGUGGCGAAGGCGGUUCUCUGGGCAUUACCUGACGCUGAGGAGCGAAAGUGUGGGGAGCGAACAGG
RNAcentral lists this ribosomal RNA (254 nucleotides) under uncultured bacterium. RNAcentral's name for it is "partial 16S ribosomal RNA". It matches the Rfam family "Bacterial small subunit ribosomal RNA", at positions 524 to 776 of the family's 1533-position model. The record is from RNAcentral.